This 253-nucleotide ribosomal RNA is filed under the name uncultured bacterium. Its description in RNAcentral is "partial 16S ribosomal RNA". It matches the Rfam family "Bacterial small subunit ribosomal RNA", at positions 524 to 776 of the family's 1533-position model. The record is from RNAcentral.
UACGUAGGGUGCAAGCGUUAAUCGGAAUCACUGGGCUUAAAGGGUGCGUAGGCGGCGCUAAAAGUUGGGUGUGAAAUCCCUCGGCUUAACCGAGGAACUGCGCCCAAAACUGUAGUGCUUGAGGGAGAUAGAGGUGAGCGGAACUUAGGGUGGAGCGGUGAAAUGCGUUGAUAUCCUAAGGAACGCCAGGGGCGAAAGCGGCUCACUGGGUCUCUUCUGACGCUGAGGCACGAAAGCUAGGGUAGCGAACGGG